UAUUUGGCUUUGUAUCUUCUAAUAAGGAAACACUACUUAGGCUUUUAAGAUCAGGUUGCGGUUCUAAUUCUUAUACAUAUUCAUACACAUGACAUUAAGUCAUAUAUGACUCCCAAAAACUAAACAAGCUUCUUCUUCCUUCUCAAAGGUUUGAUGGUGUAGCCGAAGUUCAUAUGAGUCUUUGGCUUUGUAUCUUCUAACAAGAAAACACUACUUAGGCUUUUAAGAUCCGGUUGCGGUUCUAAUUCUCAUAUUCAAUCAUACACAUGAAAUCAAGUUAUAUUUGACUCCAAAAAA
This 297-nucleotide small RNA is filed under the name Arabidopsis thaliana (thale cress). RNAcentral's name for it is "ATSL033800". Lineage: Eukaryota; Viridiplantae; Streptophyta; Magnoliopsida; Brassicales; Brassicaceae. The record is from RNAcentral.